This 361-nucleotide unclassified non-coding RNA is filed under the name uncultured Phialophora. RNAcentral describes it as "sequence contains ITS2". The stretch from base 1 to 153 matches the Rfam family "5.8S ribosomal RNA". Lineage: Eukaryota; Fungi; Ascomycota; Leotiomycetes. The record is from RNAcentral.
AACUUUCAACAAUGGAUCACUUGGUUCUGGCAUCGAUGAAGAACGCAGCGAAAUGCGAUAAGUAAUGUGAAUUGCAGAAUUCAGUAAUCAUCGAAUCUUUGAACGCACAUUGCGCCCGCUGGUAUUCCGGCGGGCAUGCCUGUUCGAGCGUCAUUAUGACCAAUCAAGCUCUGCUUGGCCUUGGGGCCCGCUAUAUCGGCGGCCCUUAAAAUCAGUGGCGGUGCCGUCUGGCUCUAAGCGUAGUAAUACUUCUCGCUAUAGGGUCUAGUCGUCCACCUGCCAGAACCCUCAACUUUCUUAGGUUGACCUCGGAUCAGGUAGGGAUACCCGCUGAACUUAAGCAUAUCAAUAAGCGGAGGCU